GGGAGUUGAUUCGGAAGUGAAGGGCCCUGGGCGACCCGGCGAGUAGAGGCAACACCAACACUCCUCCUUAGCGAGGGGUCUCCCCGCCGCGGUGGCUGCCCGGCCCCAAGGACAGGAGGGAUUUGUGCACUGACUCCUGAGCCCGUCCUCCAGCGCUGCUCUGAAGGGAGAGUCUGUGCAGUGGCACCUGCGCGAAGCUGGCGAAAGCCUGCCCAGACUGCUCACCUGUGCGGGAUGGAACAAAAGAAUUUCGCUCUUGUUGCCCAGUGUUGCCCAGGCUGGAGUGCAAUGGCACGAUCUCAGCUCACCACAACCUCCGCCUCCUGGGUUCAAGUGAUUCUCCUACCUCAGCCUCCUGAGUAGCUGGGAUUACAGGUCGGCUUGAGGUUUGCGAGUCCCAGCUCCCACGGCCCCUGCCACCUGCCUUUCCCUUCUCAGGACAUACACAGGACUGGGAGAAAAUAGACUAAGUAUUUGAUAUUACA
Molecule: non-coding RNA, 485 nt
Filed under: Pan troglodytes (chimpanzee)
Lineage: Eukaryota; Metazoa; Chordata; Mammalia; Primates; Hominidae
Source: RNAcentral